AUUGAACGCUGGCGGCAUGCUUUACACAUGCAAGUCGAACGGCAGCGCGGGCUUCGGCCUGGCGGCGAGUGGCGAACGGGUGAGUAAUGCAUCGGAACGUGCCCAGUAGUGGGGGAAAGCCCGGCAAAAGCGGGUUAAAUACCCCAUACGACCUGAGGGUGAAAGGGGGGGACCGAAAGGCCUCGCGUCUUGGUGGCGGCGGAGGUCGGUUUAGCUAGUGGGUGGGGUAAAGGCUUACCAAGGCGACGAUCCGUAGCUGGUCUGAGAGGACGACCAGCCACACUGGGACUGAGACACGGCCCAGACUCCUACGGGAGGCAGCAGUGGGGAAUUUUGGACAAUGGGGGCAACCCUGAUCCAGCCAUGCCGCGUGCGGGAAGAAGGCCUUCGGGUUGUAAACCGCUUUUGUUCGGGAAGAAAUCCUCUGGGCUAAUACCCCGGGGGGAUGACGGUACCGGAAGAAUAAGCACCGGCUAACUACGUG
RNAcentral lists this ribosomal RNA (484 nucleotides) under uncultured bacterium. RNAcentral describes it as "partial 16S ribosomal RNA". It matches the Rfam family "Bacterial small subunit ribosomal RNA", at positions 28 to 507 of the family's 1533-position model. The record is from RNAcentral.